UGUCAAAAAGUUAUUUACUUAUACUGUUAAAAAUUGGCAUGACUAAUGUAAUAAUGAGACAUUGGCACAUGGCGUGCCAUGUGCUACUUAUGCUAACAUAUAGGAACCAAUUUUUAACAAUAGAAAUAUACGGAACUUUUAACA
Molecule: non-coding RNA, 144 nt
Organism: Gossypium raimondii (Peruvian cotton)
Lineage: Eukaryota; Viridiplantae; Streptophyta; Magnoliopsida; Malvales; Malvaceae
Source: Rfam